CAUGCUAGGACGAGUUUGAUCCUGGCUCAGAACGAACGCUGGCGGCAGGCCUAACACAUGCAAGUCGAGCGAACCCUUCGGGGUUAGCGGCGGACGGGUGAGUAACGCGUGGGAACGUGCCCUUUGCUACGGAAUAGCCCCGGGAAACUGGGAGUAAUACCGUAUGUGCCCUUCGGGGAAAGAUUUAUCGGCAAAGGAUCGGCCCGCGUUGGAUUAGGUAGUUGGUGGGGUAAUGGCCUACCAAGCCGACGAUCCAUAGCUGGUUUGAGAGGAUGAUCAGCCACACUGGGACUGAGACACGGCCCAGACUCCUACGGGAGGCAGCAGUGGGGAAUCUUAGACAAUGGGCGCAAGCCUGAUCUAGCCAUGCCGCGUGAUCGAUGAAGGCCUUAGGGUUGUAAAGAUCUUUCAGUGGGGAAGAUAAUGACUGUACCCACAGAAGAAGCCCCGGCUAACUCCGUG
RNAcentral lists this ribosomal RNA (462 nucleotides) under uncultured bacterium. Its description in RNAcentral is "bacterial SSU rRNA". It matches the Rfam family "Bacterial small subunit ribosomal RNA", at positions 1 to 507 of the family's 1533-position model. The record is from RNAcentral.